AACCUUACCAGGUCUUGACAUACUCGUGCUAUUCCUAGAGAUAGGAAGUUCCUUCGGGACACGGGAUACAGGUGGUGCAUGGUUGUCGUCAGCUCGUGUCGUGAGAUGUUGGGUUAAGUCCGCAACGAGCGCAACCCCUAUUGUUAGUUGCCAUCAUUAAGUUGGGCACUCUAACGAGACUGCCGGUGAUAAACCGGAGGAAGGUGGGGAUGACGUCAAAUCAUCAUGCCCCUUAUGACCUGGGCUACACACGUGCUACAAUGGAUGGUACAACGAGUCGCGAGACAGUGAUGUUUAGCUAAUCUCUUAAAACCAUUCUCAGUUCGGAUUGUAGGCUGCAACUCGCCUACAUGAAGUCGGAAUCGCUAGUAAUCGCGGAUCAGCACGCCGCGGUGAAUACGUUCCCGGGCCUUGUACACACCGCCCGUCACACCACGGGAGUUGGGAGUACCCGAAGUAGGUUGCCUAACCGCAAGGAGGGCGCUUCCUAAGGUAAGACCGAUGACUGGGGUGAAGUCGUAACAAGGUAGGCGUAGCGAG
Molecule: ribosomal RNA, 540 nt
Filed under: uncultured bacterium
Lineage: Bacteria
Description: bacterial SSU rRNA
Rfam family: Bacterial small subunit ribosomal RNA
Source: RNAcentral